RNAcentral lists this ribosomal RNA (402 nucleotides) under Macrobrachium dienbienphuense. RNAcentral describes it as "partial large subunit ribosomal RNA". It matches the Rfam family "Bacterial large subunit ribosomal RNA", at positions 1982 to 2593 of the family's 2925-position model. The record is from RNAcentral. Lineage: Eukaryota; Metazoa; Arthropoda; Malacostraca; Decapoda; Palaemonidae.
GAAGGCUUGAAUGAAGGGUUGGACGAGGGGUAAGCUGUCUCCAUUGCAUGGCUUGAAUUUAACUUUUGAGUGAAAAGGCUCAAAUUGUUUAGUGGGACGAUAAGACCCUAUAAAACUUAAUAUAGGUUUAACUUGAUUCGCAAUUAUGGGUGAAAAGGUGUUUUGUUCUGCCUAUAUUUUGUUGGGGAGAUGUAGAUAUAAUGUGUAACUGUCUGUUGAAUUUAAUAGUUAUGAUUAGUGUGUGAUCCUUCAUUGGGGAUUAGGAGAAUAAGUUACUUUAGGGAUAACAGCGUGAUUUUCUUUGAGAGUUCUUAUCGACAAGAGUAGUUGCGACCUCGAUGUUGAAUUAAAGUUUCAGCUAGGUGUAGCUGUUUAGCUGGUGGGUCUGUUCGACCUUUAAAA